Molecule: long non-coding RNA, 1154 nt
Organism: Ananas comosus (pineapple)
Lineage: Eukaryota; Viridiplantae; Streptophyta; Magnoliopsida; Poales; Bromeliaceae
Exons: 9
Source: RefSeq, a predicted model, not a curated record
CCUUGCUACUCGGGCUACGGCCGAGGGUGAUGUCCAGUAUAUAGUCCCUAGAGGUAGGCUGAAGCAAAGGGAGUUAAGGGAGCUGUUGUGCUAAGUGAUUUCUUGGUAUUUGAGAGAGAGAGAGAGAGAGAGAGAGAGAAAGCAAAUAAAGGGGAGUAUCUUUACUUCUGGAAUUGAAGCAGCAAACUUGGAGGUUGGCAUCCUGGAGGCCUGCGGGCUGAGGAGGAAGGCCUAAACUGAGCUGAAUUCCGGCUGAUAGGAGUUGCUGUGUAAAUUGGUUCAGCAUCCAAUUAGACUGAAGUUGGGACUUGUGGAGCUACUGAAUUAGGACUGCAGCUGAGGAAAGCUUUGAUGUAAAAUUCUGAUGGCUAAAGCUGAAAACAAAUUGAAGGAAUACUCAGUUAAGGACUUGUAAUUAAGAGAAUUAAUGGCAGCCUUGAUGUUUGGAGUUGCCGAGUCGACAUCUCGGGUGAGUGGACCAGAGAGCUAGCUAGGAGAAUACUUUAAGUAAGUAGCAGAAUUGGAACUUCGAGCAGAUUGAAGUUAUCAAAUUGGGAUUUCAGCUAAAGGAAAUUGGGAAGAUAAGGAAUUGAAAAAGGAAAAGAGAGUGUGGUGCUGAAAUCAUGAUGCAGAAUCCAUUGUAAGCUGAAAUCAAGUUGGUGCUGAAGUCAACUUGAUAAAAAUCCUGGAUGCUUGGCCGAAUUGAUGACCAGCAGGAAUUUCAGGGAGAAAAUGGAGCUUGAGCUGACCAAAGUUUAGAUUUGGGGCUAUUGAGCAGGGAACCAGCUAAGAGAAAGAACUCUUGAGCAUUGGUACAGCUAGUGAGGUCGACGACGCGCUAAUUACGGUAGAGGCCGUUCUAGUUCUAUUUGCGCUGGGUCGCGAGAGAUAGUUGUCGACGCAUACCGAGACAUUGAUCUUAGUUAUUGACACCACUACAUGUUCCAGUGCAAGCGGUGUGGCCGAAGAUCGUUGCAAGAGCCCCGCAGCUUAGCUAGUUGACACCAGAGUAUAGCAGUUUACCAUUUUGGUUUUCAUGUUACACAUUUUGAUGUACAGAAACUUGUAAAUGAGUGUAUAAAGAGCAUGUAAAUAACUAAAUGUUUCAGUUAUGUAUAUUCAGUUUAAAAGUUUUAAAUUACAGUGAAUUUCAG